AUGGCCCAAGUCAGACUAGUUUCCAGCCUUGCUGAUGUUGACGCUGCGCUUCAAGGUCUACAGAUCACUCAGAUGAAUCAAGCUGGUCAGGUUCAAUUUCAGUUGCAUGAGGAAGCCCCCCUCGAAGAAGCAGCAAAGAUCGGUGAGAGGACCCGUCCAGGAAGGCAUGGAUUCAUACUUGUGAAUCCAGAGUUGUUGGAGUGCAAGACUAAGACCAAGGGGGUAUUAGAGAGGUCCUUCAAAAACAUGCUUGCCGCAACCCUGCAGCGGACUGAUAAAGAGAUGCUGGAAGUUGACGCAAGCAUCUCAGUAUUGAAGGUCCUUGUGCUCAAGAAUGAUGAUGAGAUGGAUCAGCUGGGACCUCACGGACCUCCACUUAACGAAAGAAACCGGGGAGUACAGCAAGUCAUCUAUCCACAUCCUCCCUUCCCAGAAGAUCCUAGCUUUGAGCAUGGAACAACCCCACAGAGAGUCCCAUAUCAAGCUGCUUAUGGUACACAACAAGAGAGGGAUGAGGCAGCUGCUCGUGACAGGUGUGCCCAGAGGGCCCUCUGGCAUGCCAAACUCUGUAUUUUGGAGAUGAGGCAGUCCAUCUUGAAGGACAAGAGGUCUGAGAUGAUGUCAAAGAUGACGGCGGUAUUCAAUAGGAUUAUGGAGGAACCAUCUCACUUAGGGGUUGGUUACGCGGACAAUGAAUUUCCUCCACUGGCGUAG
RNAcentral lists this ribosomal RNA (714 nucleotides) under Triticum aestivum (bread wheat). Its description in RNAcentral is "partial small subunit ribosomal RNA". The record is from RNAcentral. Lineage: Eukaryota; Viridiplantae; Streptophyta; Magnoliopsida; Poales; Poaceae.